RNAcentral lists this ribosomal RNA (213 nucleotides) under uncultured bacterium. RNAcentral's name for it is "partial 16S ribosomal RNA". It matches the Rfam family "Bacterial small subunit ribosomal RNA", at positions 149 to 355 of the family's 1533-position model. The record is from RNAcentral.
CCUGGAAACAGAUGCUAAUACCGGAUAACAACACUAGACGCAUGUCUAGAGUUUAAAAGAUGGUUCUGCUAUCACUCUUGGAUGGACCUGCGGUGCAUUAGCUAGUUGGUAAGGCAACGGCUUACCAAGGCAAUGAUGCAUAGCCGAGUUGAGAGACUGAUCGGCCACAUUGGGACUGAGACACGGCCCAAACUCCUACGGGAGGCAGCAGUC